UACGAAGGGGGCUAGCGUUGCUCGGAAUUACUGGGCGUAAAGCGCACGUAGGCGGCUUUCUAAGUCGGGGGUGAAAUCCUGGAGCUCAACUCCAGAACUGCCUUCGAUACUGGAAAGCUCGAGUCCGGGAGAGGUGAGUGGAACUGCGAGUGUAGAGGUGAAAUUCGUAGAUUAUUCGCAAGAACACCAGUGGCGAAGGCGGCUCACUGGCCCGGUACUGACGCUGAGGUGCGAAAGCCAGGGGAGCAAAGCGGG
RNAcentral lists this ribosomal RNA (255 nucleotides) under uncultured bacterium. RNAcentral's name for it is "partial 16S ribosomal RNA". It matches the Rfam family "Bacterial small subunit ribosomal RNA", at positions 524 to 777 of the family's 1533-position model. The record is from RNAcentral.